Long non-coding RNA from Salvelinus fontinalis (brook trout), 3721 nucleotides. RefSeq lists it as uncharacterized. The transcript has 2 exons. The record is from RefSeq and is a predicted model, not a curated record. NCBI's taxonomy places the organism in Eukaryota, Metazoa, Chordata, Actinopteri, Salmoniformes, Salmonidae.
AGGGGGAGGGGACGAAGAAGAGCGGUCCUAUGCCCCAUUUUGGUUUUGUGGUUUUGUUACUCUACAGACGGACGUGUAUAUACAGCCGAAACGUUGGCGUGUUGUGGCUGCCAUUUUGAAAUGGCUUAAAGAUUGAUAAGCUCCUUCUUGUGUACUGUCGUUCUCUCUCUCCUCUUUCCACAUGUCUUGUUCCCUCCAUUCCUGGUUGAGGAGAGACUCUUUAUUUUAUAGCUGACUAAUAUGUCAUGUAUCACACACAACCAGGUACUUUCUACUUUUUACACCGACUUGGUGUUGAACAACUUGAAUUGUUGAGUUUGCGUAUGUUGUUGUCCUGUGUGGUUGUUUGCUAGGAGAGCCUGUUUGAUAUUAGACCUGGGUUCAUAUAGUAUUUGACAUUUUAUAAAAUCAUUUCAGUGGUUGUUCCAGCCGGCCUGGUGUGCCAGGUGGGCGGCGUUUGCAGUGCUUAGACUCCUAUUGGUUCAUUAAUCCAGGCAAGAUCAAUCAAGCACAGUUUUAAGUCUUUGAAAUGAUUUCAAGUAGUAUUUGAACCCAGGUCUUGUUUAGAUCUGUUUAUAUGCCGCCAGGGCCGAUCCCAGCCCCCUCUAAACUAAACUGGCCUUCUGCCCCAAGUCCUUAAAACAGAGCAACAACUAGGAGAUAAGCCUAAAGCUGCUGUAGUAGUGUGUGUGUGUGUGUGUGUGUGUGUGUGUGUGUGUGUGUGUGUGUGUGUGUGUGUGUGUGUGUAUUUGCGCGCGUAUAUGUGUGUGCACUCGUCCGUGCAUAUGUGUGUGUGUGUGUGUGUGUGUGUGUGUGUGUGUGUGUGUGUGUGUGUGUGUGUGUGACUAAAGCCUUCUUUGGUGUUAGUAACAAAUGUAACCUCUUUACUACACCAGUACAUUUCAUUUACACCAUCUUUACAUAAACUGCAGUAUCAGCAUUUAUAAGGUUUGAGUUGGACCCUACAAUCAACCAGGAAACCUUCCCACAGAUUAAGUCUAGUCCUGGACUUAAAAGCAUACUCAAUGGAGAAUCCAUAUUGAAAUAGCUUCUUAGUCCUGCACUAUCUUUCAUGUGUCCAGGAAGUUGGUGGAUAGCCUUCUACACAGAGGUUCAACUUUAAGCUCUCCAGUGAGAAUCAACAGGGACACAUCGAGUUUUGACGUUUUGAAUCCAAAGAUAAUUUUUAAUUGUAUUUAUUUUGUCUCUGAAUUGCCCCACCAGCCACAGGGCGGCAGGGUGGACAGACAGACAUGCCAGUUGGUAGGAGAUAGUGUCUAGAUACCACAGGGCGGCAGGGUGGACAGACAGACAUGCCAGUUGGUAGGAGAUAGUGUCUAGAUACCACAGGGCGGCAGGGUGGACAGACAGACAUGCCAGUUGGUAGGAGAUAGUGUCUAGAUACCACAGGGCGGCAGGGUGGACAGACAGACAUGCCAGUUGGUAGGAGAUAGUGUCUAGAUACCACAGGGCGGCAGGGUGGACAGACAGACAUGCCAGUUGGUAGGAGAUAGUGUCUAGAUACCACAGGGCGGAAGGUGGACAGACAGACAUGCCAGUUGGUAGGAGAUAGUGUCUAGAUACCACAGGGCGGCAGGGUGGACAGACAGACAUGCCAGUUGGUAGGAGAUAGUGUCUAGAUACCACAGGGCGGCAGGGUGGACAGACAGACAUGCCAGUUGGUAGGAGAUAGUGUCUAGAUACCACAGGGCGGCAGGGUGGACAGAUAGACAUGCCAGUUGGUAGGAGAUAGUGUCUAGAUACCACAGGGCGGCAGGGUGGACAGACAGACAGGCCAGUUGGUAGGAGAUAGUGUCUAGAUACCACAGGGCGGCAGGGUGGACAGACAGACAGGCCAGUUGAUAGGAGAUAGUGUCUAGAUACCACAGGGCGGCAGGGUGGACAGACAGACAUGCCAGUUGGUAGGAAAUAGAUAGACAGUGCCUAGAUACCUUCUCUAAAGCCAGGAACACAUUUAGGAUGAGUCCCAAAUGGUACACUAUUCUCAUAGGGCCCUGGUCAAAAAGAGUGCACUAUAUUAGGGCCCUGGUCAAAAGGAGUGCACUAUAUUAGGGCCCUGGUCAAAAAGAGUGCACUAUAUUAGGGCCCUGGUCAAAAGGAGUGCACUAUAUUAGGGCCCUGGUCAAAAGGAGUGCACUAUAUUAGGGCCCUGGUCAAAAGGAGUGCACUAUAUUAGGGCCCUGGUCAAAAGGAGUGCACUAUAUUAGGGCCCUGGUCAAAAGGAGUGCACUAUAUUAGGGCCCUGGUCAAAAGGAGUGCACUAUAUUAGGGCCCUGGUCAAAAGGAGUGCACUAUAUUAGGGCCCUGGUCAAAAGGAGUGCACUAUAUUAGGGCCCUGGUCAAAAGGAGUGCACUAUAUUAGGGCCCUGGUCAAAAGGAGUGCACUAUAUUAGGGCCCUGGUCAAAAGGAGUGCACUAUAUUAGGGCCCUGGUCAAAAGGAGUGCACUAUAUUAGGGCCCCGGUCAAAAGGAGUGCACUAUAAACUGAAUAGGCUGACAUUUGGGAUGCAUCGGCCUUUUAAAAGAUGAUGUCAAAUCUGAGGUGGGUCCAUUUGGGAUUUAUCUCACCGGUCGAGGUUUGAAAACGUCUGACCAUCGUAGAUGUUUGGGAAGCACUACUUUGAGACAUGGGUGUUAUUAUCAUUUUAUACAGUUUUAAAGUUGAAAUGUACCUGCAGGAAAUCAACUGUAUAUGUUUCUAAUAUAUGAGAAAGGAACUCAAACUUAAUAGGACUUUUCUAUUGAGAGAAUGAGUCAAUGAUAGAUUAUUAUUAUUAUUAGCUUAUCAGCAUCGUGUAUUCUCACUGAGGACCUAUAAGAAACAGUUUCACCUUUGUCCCGCCCCUUUCUCACUUGUCACACACCUUUUCUCGUAUGAUUGACACUGCAGCUAUCCACUCCCAACACUCCAUCCACAAUGUUAAAGCCCAACACUAAUUAUAAGAGGACUGGGGUCCGUUUAAGAGCGGGCGAUGUUCUGACAAAAUGUUUCUGAUUAGAAAAGAGAUGACAUGAUUCUGUCCCAGAGGCCAGUCUGUUCUACACAAGGUAGAAGUAUUCAUUAGGCCCCGAACGGAGGAACAACAGACUGCAACGGGAAGAGACUACCUGGACUCCAAUAACAAACACUCAUUAGCGUUUUUUCCGUUUUUAAAAACGUUUUCAGUUGCAUGCCCUAAUGAAUACAACCCUGUCAACUAACGUGUCCGUUUGUUCCAUAGAAAUAUAAUGUUCAAAAUCCAUAGAAUAUAAUGGUGCAUUGUCAUGUACGCAAUUUCAAUGCUCCAAUCAAACCUAAAUGUUUGAAUGAAUGUGUUGUUCCAUACCAUGUUACUCAACAGAAGUCAUAUUGCUGUAGAAUGUCAUUUCACCCAUCUGUUGUUGUCUGAAAGCUUCCAUCUUGCUGUAGAAUGUCAUUUCACCCAUCUGUUGUUGUCUGAAAGCUUCUAAUGGGGUUGUUUGGUAACACGUUACGUAAAAGCCAACUGGUAUAAUGCCUUAUAACUUGUUAUAAGCAUGUAUGCACCUUUAUAAAAGUGUUACAGGCACUAUAUGUUCAUUCACUUUCUAUGGGAUGACUGUCACUACUCCACUCCAGAAAUAUAGUACUCCUUCAUCAUGGGUAACACCGACCAGUAUAAUGCCUUCAACUUGCUAUGAGCUUAUAUGAGCAUAUUAUAAAGUUAAUAAUCUAAUUCUA